This 793-nucleotide ribosomal RNA is filed under the name uncultured archaeon. Its description in RNAcentral is "bacterial SSU rRNA". It matches the Rfam family "Archaeal small subunit ribosomal RNA", at positions 85 to 879 of the family's 1478-position model. The record is from RNAcentral.
ACUGCUCAGUAACACGUGGACAACCUGCCCUCAGGUUGGGUAUAAACCCGGGAAACUGGGUAUAAUACCCGAUAGGUCUCGAUUGCUGGAAUGCAUCGAGAUUUAAAGCUCCGGCGCCUAAGGAUGGGUCUGCGGCCUAUCAGGUAGUAGUGGGUGUAGCGUACCUACUAGCCUACGACGGGUACGGGUUGUGAGAGCAAGAGCCCGGAGAUGGAUUCUGAGACACGAAUCCAGGCCCUACGGGGUGCAGCAGGCGCGAAAACUUUACAAUGCUGGCAACAGCGAUAAGGGAACCUCGAGUGCCAGGUUACAAAUCUGGCUGUCGAGAUGCCUAAAAAGCAUUUCAUAGCAAGGGCCGGGCAAGACCGGUGCCAGCCGCCGCGGUAACACCGGCGGCUCGAGUGGUAACCGUUAUUAUUGGGUCUAAAGGGUCUGUAGCCGGCCGGAUAAGUCUCUUGAGAAAUCUGGCAGCUUAACUGUCAGGCUUUCAGGAGAUACUGUCUGGCUCGAGGCCGGGAGAGGUGAGAGGUACUUCAGGGGUAGGGGUGAAAUCUUGUAAUCCUUGAAGGACCACCAGUGGCGAAGGCGUCUCACCAGAACGGACCUGACGGCAAGGGACGAAAGCUAGGGGCACGAACCGGAUUAGAUACCCGGGUAGUCCCAGCCGUAAACGAUACUCGCUAGGUGUCGGCCACGGUGCGACCGUAGUCGGUGCCGUAGGGAAGCCGUGAAGCGAGCCACCUGGGAAGUACGGCCGCAAGGCUGAAACUUAAAGGAAUUGGCGGGGGAGCAC